GAGCACGUUAGGUUUUCGUCCUGGGGGAGUACAGUUGGUGUACCGGGAAUU
RNAcentral lists this transfer RNA (51 nucleotides) under Haliotis scalaris (staircase abalone). RNAcentral describes it as "partial tRNA-Glu". The record is from RNAcentral. Lineage: Eukaryota; Metazoa; Mollusca; Gastropoda; Lepetellida; Haliotidae. RNAcentral also lists the same sequence under 1 other name.